Non-coding RNA from Microcebus murinus (gray mouse lemur), 1046 nucleotides. The record is from RefSeq and is a predicted model, not a curated record. NCBI's taxonomy places the organism in Eukaryota, Metazoa, Chordata, Mammalia, Primates, Cheirogaleidae.
CAUUGGGAAGACCAAGCUACAUAAACAAGCCUUCUGCUGGUGUAGGCAGAGCAAGAUGGCCAAAUAAAACCCUCCAGUGAUUACCCCCACCACCCCCGCAGAAACAUCAAAUUGAACAACUAUCCACACAACAAAGAAUCUUCAUAAGAACCCCAAGUCAGCCCUUUAUGUUCAACAGUUCGACACUCUGCUAAGAAGCUUGAACAACUUUGACCCAGGAAGCAGGGAACACUUUGGGGACAACAGUCACAUGACAAUGCUGCUGUACUUGUGAACAAAUGAAAAUGCUAGACUCACCAUAAAAACAUGGAUAUAGGAAGAAAAGGCCGAUGAAGAGAAAAACAAGUUACAAGAUAAUUCAAUUCUGGACAUACUGACUUGGAGGCAAAUGUGCAGCCAGCAGAUGGAGCGUCCACUAAGUGAUUUAAUAUAUAUAUAAUCUGGAGUAAAGGAGAGAGAUCUGAGCUGAUGUCCACUCGGCAUGUAUAUGCCAAACUGAUUACUAUAAGGGAUACAAAAAUAACGCCCUCCAUGUCUCCUUUCAGGGUCCCAUUUUGUCCUUCUAAAAAACUCCUUUCCUUUGAUUCACGUUCCUAUCACCCAUAGCUAUCAACAAAUAAAUUAUUAGUUGAUAAGGACUUGAAUUUUAAUAGUGGAGAACUAGAAAUGAUAAGAAAACAAAAUUUUUUUUCCCAGGACCCUCAAAACCAAUGGAUGGGCUUUUGAAAUCUUACAAUCAAUUGAAAUUGAACUAUAAGGCUAAGUUGGUCAGGCCAUACAGAUAGUCACAGGCUCCUAAGGCAGAUUUUUUUUUCGCACACAUGCAUUAUUUUCUGAAAAGGUGAGUGUGGUGGAUUCACUGGAGCCAUCAGAAGUGAAUACAUAGCAUUUUUCCUGACAUUUCUUCCUUCUCAAUAAAUCAAAUUAACUAUAAAAUAUCAUCAGCGUAGCAAAUCUGCUUUCCCUUUCAUUUUUGUUUUUCAUUUCAAAUUAAUAUCAGAUAAAACAAUUAAUGUCUUUCAGAGUAUUUUCCAGAUCAAAAAUAA